UGGGGAAUCUUGGACAAUGGGGGCAACCCUGAUCCAGCCAUGCCGCGUGAGUGAUGAAGGCCUUAGGGUCGUAAAGCUCUUUCGCCUGUGAAGAUAAUGACGGUAGCAGGUAAAGAAACCCCGGCUAACUCCGUGCCAGCAGCCGCGGUAAUACGGAGGGGGUUAGCGUUGUUCGGAAUUACUGGGCGUAAAGCGCACGUAGGCGGACCAGAAAGUUGGGGGUGAAAUCCCGGGGGCUCAACCCCGGAACUGCCUCCAAAACUAUUGGUCUAGAGUUCGAGAGAGGUGAGUGGAAUUCCAAGUGUAGAGGUGAAAUUCGUAGAUAUUUGGAGGAACACCAGUGGCGAAGGCGGCUCACUGGCUCGAUACUGACGCUGAGGUGCGAAAGUGUGGGGAGGCAAACAGGAAUUGAGAUACCCUGGCUAGUCCACACCGUAAAACGAUGAAUGCCAGUCGUCGGGUAGCAUGCUAUUCGGUGACACACCUAACGGAUUAAGCAUUCCGCCUGGGGAGUACGGUCGCAAGAUUAAAACUCAAAGGAAUUGA
This 546-nucleotide ribosomal RNA is filed under the name uncultured bacterium. RNAcentral describes it as "bacterial SSU rRNA". It matches the Rfam family "Bacterial small subunit ribosomal RNA", at positions 355 to 913 of the family's 1533-position model. The record is from RNAcentral.